UACGUAGGUGGCAAGCGUUGCCCGGAAUUACUGGGCGUAAAGAGCUCGUAGGCGGGGGCGUGCGUCUGAGAGGAAAUCUCAAGGCUCAACCUUGGGGCUGUCUCAGAUACGGCGCUUCUUGAGGGUGUGAGAGGAAAGUAGAAUUCCCGGUGUAGCAGUGAAAUGCGUAGAUAUCGGGAGGAAUACCAGUGGCGAAGGCGACUUUCUGGCACAUUCCUGACGCUGAGGAGCGAAAGCGUGGGUAGCGAACAGG
Molecule: unclassified non-coding RNA, 253 nt
Filed under: uncultured bacterium
Lineage: Bacteria
Description: contains 16S-23S intergenic spacer region
Rfam family: Bacterial small subunit ribosomal RNA
Source: RNAcentral